RNAcentral lists this ribosomal RNA (497 nucleotides) under uncultured bacterium. RNAcentral's name for it is "partial 16S ribosomal RNA". It matches the Rfam family "Bacterial small subunit ribosomal RNA", at positions 28 to 507 of the family's 1533-position model. The record is from RNAcentral.
GAUGAACGCUGGCGGCGUGCCUAAUACAUGCAAGUCGAGCGAACAGACGAGGAGCUUGCUCCUCUGACGUUAGCGGCGGACGGGUGAGUAACACGUGGAUAACCUACCUAUAAGACUGGGAUAACUUCGGGAAACCGGAGCUAAUACCGGAUAAUAUAUUGAACCGCAUGGUUCAAUAGUGAAAGACGGUUUUGCUGUCACUUAUAGAUGGAUCCGCGCCGCAUUAGCUAGUUGGUAAGGUAACGGCUUAUCAAGGCAACGAUGCGUAUCCGACCUGAGAGGGUGAUCGGCCACACUGGAACUGAGACACGGUCCUGACUCCUACGGGAGGCAGCAGUAGGGAAUGUUCCGCAAUGGGCGAAAGCUUGGCGGAGCAACGCCGCGUGAGUGAUGACGGUCUUCGGAUCGUAAAACUCUGUUAUUAGGGAAGAACAAAUGUGUAAUUAACUAUGCACGUCUUGACGGUACCUAAUCAGAAAGCCACGGCUAACUACGUG